UGCUAGGCCGACGGGAGGACAAGACGGUCCUGGGAACCCAAGAUCCAGGAGGGGCGGGGGAGGACUGAGACUUGAAAACUGAGGCCCCACGAAGAAUUCUCCCAGGCCAGUUCUGCUAAAAGGCGUUUAUAAAGAUGCUCAGAAUUAAGGACUCUGAAAAUGGGCUCCUGCACCCACAAUCUGGCUGGCUGCACUACACAGCUCUCUUACACAUUUCAGAGAACUUUGUUGUACUGAGGCCAACAAGAAGCUCCCUAUAGACAGGUAAAUAGGGGAGAGGCGACACAGAACAAGGAUCUUUGUUACAGAUCUCAGAGGCUCGGAGAGAGGUGUGUACACAGUCACAAGUGAGUACGCAGGGAAAUGCCGUGAAGAUAACGAAGUAAGGCCCAGGCCAGGUUACAAAAAAGAGAGAGACAAUAACACUCCCAGGUACUCAGCCCCUCACUCGGAGCCCGGCCCACUGGCCCAGCCCCCCAUUUCCGGAGCCUGCGCCCCGGGACCUGGCAGGGACUGGUCCCCGGGGAGGCCUAGUUCUCACUUCUUUCCCGCCCCUGGCUUACGACCGCGGGGCUCCAAGGCUACCUGGAGCCAGGGGCUGCGAAGAGAGGAGGACACCCACCUGGUCGGAGUCACAUGCUGCCUCGGGCCGGCCCGAGAGUCCCCUCCAGGUCCCGGCGCCCGCCGCGGUCCCCAGCCAGGCCAGGCCGCCCCGGCGCCCCACCCGCGGCCCGCCCCUGCCGCCGGACGGGAGGGAGGGACCGGCUUCUCCUAAGGAAGUUUCAGGAACACUAUGACCCACAACGCCAAACAGCUUCGGGUAGUCGGUUCCCUGAUCACUGUGUCAGCCGGUUGCUCCAUGGAUCCUGGCAGAAAGAAGCUAAGCAGUUGUGUGGAAGACCCUGUGGAAUAAAACUUGACUGAGGAAAAUUAGCCUCCUCUCUGAUAGUCCUGAAGCAAUGCUGUGUUCAAAAAAAUGUCCCAGUUCUGCCAUGCUCCUUUGAAGGAUGAAAUUUUAAACAGUUUAGCUGGCUUUGACACACUCUCAAUUGUCCUGAAGUAUACAGGAAGUAACAGGAAAUGCCAAGCCUAGGAUUCAGCCAUAUAAGGGCAGGCCAGCAUGCUUCAUAAACCCAGCAAAGGCGUAAGAACAAGGAGUGAAGCGAGUCAGAAAAUUAAAGCUGGUUGAAAAGUUUAAACUCCUUCUAGACUGGGAGAGAGAACUCUAGCAGUCUGAAGGUCCUGACCUCUCAUUGGUCAACAGGUUUUGUCAAAUGCAGUUUAGGAUCAGCCACUGUGGAUAGGGAGGGGGAUGGCAUGCAUUUUGUUGCCCUUGGCUCGUGUUCCCUGUUUUCUCUCCCUCUGGGUCUCACACAGGAACCUCCUCCUGUUUGCUGAUUCUGAGCUGGCAGUAUUUUUGUUCUGUAAAUGUCUACCCAUGUUUCUCUGCUUUGCAACUCCUUUACCAAGUUAAACCGGAGAAUGAAUGCCGACCUGGCUUUCCCUCUGGUAGUACGGUGUAGAAAAGUUGAACCGGCCUUUUAGGAACUUUUCUUCUCUUCCUGAGCCAGCCCCUAUCUUCAGGGUACCCUGAUUACAAGACCAGUUUAGCCCUCCUCACCGUGUAGACUGAGUUUCAUAAUUUAUGUUUUUCUUUUACCUUUCUUGGUGCCAAGAAUUUGGAGUGAGGGUUGUCAUUCUGUCCUGAGAAAAGAGAUGCUUUGGGGGGCUCAUAUUGCCUCUAAAAUUCUUAGAUUAGAGAGAGAAUGAUCAGUGGCAAGAGGGUGAGGUAUAUAGGUUCAGACAGAUGCAGACCUGUACACUUGAAUUUUUCCUCUGCCACUUAUUUAACAAGAACAUGUGGGGAUGUUAACUUUCUGGUACUCACUUCAAUGUUUCUAUGCAUUGUUUCUUGCUGUCAUUAACAACAGCACCUCACUGGGUUGCUGUGCCAAUUCAAGAAGGGAUAAAGAGAAAUCACUUUUACAAGCACGCUGUAUGGGAAGGUGCUGGAUAUGGGUUAUUUUCCUUCUCUAAUUUCUAAGGGGCCCUGACAGUUAUGCAUAUGAAAUGAAUUUAUAAUAACAAGAUGAGAGGAAAAUGGGUUCAGAAUAAAGUUAUUUUUAGAUGAGAGCUGUAUUUGGUACAGAAGAAUAAACACAGGCUCUGGAGUUGGAGGUCAGUGCAGUCAGAGAAAGUGCUCUGAGAUCCAGCUAGGAGUGAGGCUAGGAACAAGGAACUUCCUUACGUAGUUCUAGAUAGGAAGGCUAAAUUGUUUUGCAGUAGGAAUGCACUAGCCUUAACUCUGCAGCUGCCAUCAUUUUGAAGACAUUCACCUGGUUUUCCCUGCUCUCAGGAGGGCGGCUCUGUCCCCUGCCCACCCUGUGCCAGCUCUUUGAAUGCUGCUCCUUCACUCCUGCCACUGCUUUUGGCCUGUUCAUGUAGCCCACCUUUAAAUACUUCGGACUUAAUUUGAGAGAACUUAAUAGAACACUUAUUAACAUGGGUGACAUGUGAUCCCUUCAUCUCUGCCCACCCUGACUUGACCACUAUGGCUCUUAGCUAUUUGUUAAUAGUUUGAUGAACGUAUAUUUUCUUUUCUGCAUUUUGGUUUCUGCUUUUGUUUUCUCAACCUUCCCACACUGGCAUGUACUCAACUUAGUGCUAGCCAAGGUAUAUGUACUAAUUAACACCUUCAUUUUCCCCAUCAUCAUUUGCUCUGUAUGUAUUCGCAGACACCAGGUAUACAAAGGCCAGGCUUCUGUGCUCCUUGGCACAUCAAAGUAAAAGACAACAGAUGAUGAGAGCCAACUGUGGCAGGUAUUGUGCUUCGAGCAUCACAAUGGGUGCAUAAAGGAGAGCAAACUCCACUGCUGGGGGGAGCAGAGGUGACCUAGCAGGUGACAGUGUUUCACUAGAGGUGUUAUAGAAAGCGAUUCUUUUAAAGGAAGAUACAGCAAAGGCAGAUGAACAUGGGGAACAGACAUACUACUGGAGAAGCCUGAGUAUCUUCUCAUCAGGGAAGUGCAUGUAGUACAGAUUUAGCUAGAGGAAUGGUGACAUAACGGAGAAUGUUUGGGAAUGGUUGUCAGGCAACCCCAUCAAGGAAGGCCUGUGGCCAUGCAUUCUACUGAAUUUAGAUGCUGUUCUCUGGAGAUGGGCCUCCAAAGGACUGUGAGCAAGGUCACGAGAUGAUCAGAUUAGAAGUCAAGAAAAAUCCACUCUUGUUGGAAUGUGGAGAAUAGAUUGGAGUAGGUUCUGAAAUGGAGAUACAGAGAAGCCCAUUUAAUGGGUGUGGUGGACCAUUUGCUGUGCAUUACAGUCUGUAGGUGAAGCAGAUGACACCCUGAGACAAUGCUGGAGGAAGGGCAAGCAAGAGAGGAAAUGGAAUUAAGGGUCAGGAUGACUGCUUCUUGAAGGUAAAUAAUAAAUUCAGAACUGAAAAGUUGACUCUGGAAAAAAUAAGAUAGCUUGCUCACAUGUAAAUGAAUGCGGUAGAAUGGCAGAACCCAAGUACAGCCACACACUUUCAGCCAGAUAUUGUUUUAUAAAAGUUGUCAGAAAUUGGUUGGGAAAAAAGAGCCUCUUCAGCGCACUAUGCUGAGCCAAGUGAAUAUCCACAUGUAGAAGAAUGAAAGUCGGUCUCAUUCUUUCACCCUGUACAAAAGUUAAUUGAACACUGGAUUAAAGACCUUAAUGUAAGGCUGAAACUGAAUCUUCUAGAAGAAAAUAAGGGUGAAGCAAGUGGAGGUACAGUCAGUGGACUCCAGCAAAUGAUUCCGGUAGCAUGGGAAAUCAUUCCGAGAAUUUACAAAUGAGAUUACAAAAAAAGAGUGUUUCUUCUACAAAGGAAACAACCACCAAAUCGAAAGAGAACUAUAGGAUUGGAAAGAUACAUACAAUUGGCCAAUUGUAUGUCAUACAAGGAAUACUGUGAAGAUUAAACCCCCAAUACCAAAUCAUUCAGUUAGCUGAAUAGGACAGUCUCAAAAGAAGGAUUACAAAUAGCUGGUAAAUAUUUUAAAAAGUGUUGGACAUCCUUCACCCUCAGGGAAAUGCUGGUUAAAACUCCUUUGAGAUGCCAUGUGACUGCAGAAUGGCUGUCAUCAAGAAGAGACAGCAACAGUGCUGGGCACGAAUGUGGGAAAAGUAGAAAUCUCAUAUAUUGUUGGUAAAACUGCUACAAAUAUCAGUAUGGAGGCUUCUUAUAAAACUAAAAAUGGCUAUCAUGUGACCCAGUAGGGCUUCCGGACAUACAACGGCAGGUCUGACAGAUAAUAUGCCACAGAGGUGUUUACAGACCUGUGUUUUCUGCUACAUCCAUCACAGUAGCUUAAAAAAAUAGAGCUAGCCUAGAUGUCCAUCCAGAAGUCCAUGGAUGAGGCUGGAGAGAUGACUCAGUCUUUCAGAACCCUGGAUGCUCUUCCAGAGGGCUUGGGUACAAUUCUGGAACUCUAGUGCCAGGGGAUUCAGUAUCUUUUGGCCUCCAAAUGCCCCAAGCUUGCAUGUGUUCCUUAGACAUACAUGUAUUUUUUAAAUGAAUAUAGAAUAUAUAUGUAUAUGUAUAUAUAUACUAGAAUUGUAUUCAAUUAUAAAGAAAAUGAAAUUAUGUCAUUUUAAGUAAAAUGAAUGGAACCGGAGCUUGUGUUAAACAGGAUAAGUCAGACUCAGAAAGACAAAUACUACUGCAUGUUCUCUCUCCUAUGCAGCAUCCAGAUUUCAAUUUGUGUGUGGUGGGGGAACCAUGGCAG
This is a long non-coding RNA of Alexandromys fortis (reed vole), 4751 nucleotides long. RefSeq lists it as uncharacterized. Lineage: Eukaryota; Metazoa; Chordata; Mammalia; Rodentia; Cricetidae. The transcript is spliced from 3 exons. The record is from RefSeq and is a predicted model, not a curated record.